CUUGGCAUCAUUACCGUACUUCUUAUCGCUAACUUCAUGGCGUACUCAGAACAGAAAUACCUAUAUCGAUUAUAGCGGUGAUAGUCGAACACGUGUAUAGGAUACUGUUAUCU
This 113-nucleotide ribosomal RNA is filed under the name Serratia symbiotica. RNAcentral's name for it is "rrf2". Lineage: Bacteria; Pseudomonadati; Pseudomonadota; Gammaproteobacteria; Enterobacterales; Yersiniaceae. The record is from RNAcentral.